Molecule: ribosomal RNA, 591 nt
Filed under: Triticum aestivum (bread wheat)
Lineage: Eukaryota; Viridiplantae; Streptophyta; Magnoliopsida; Poales; Poaceae
Description: partial small subunit ribosomal RNA
Source: RNAcentral
AUGCUGGUCACCAGUUGGAUUACAUUGAGAGCAGAAAUUUUGUUCCAGUUACUUCGGGGAGAAAAGUUAACACUGUGGUUACGAUGCUCUGACCGGCAAAAGGUUACGUCUAGGAGAAUUUACGGCCACGGCAACAGGGCAAUGCAUACCCAGCUUGCCGAAGCUAAUAUGCGACAUGCGGGCGAGCUUGAAUCAAGCUCAAAAGCUCCCAAUCACAGCUAUAGCACAAAAACAGCUAAGAAAACCUACUUGCUGAGAACCAAAGCAAUCGCGAGCAUACAGUCACCCACACUCUCCAACAGAUUGCUGAAGAAAAUCAAGCUACGUAGAAAAGCACAGGAGCAAUCGGCAGCUCAGAUUCCCCAGGCCCCAAUCCAGGUUGGUCCCGGCAUCCGACCAGCGGCACGAAAAGCGCCACCGCCAAAAUCGAAUCUACUGAAAUUCCAAAGCCACCGCACCACACAGCGAGCCCACGGACGACGGCAAGACCAAAUGGCGGGGAUCCAGAAGCAAGCGAGCCCCGCCCAGCCCCGCGCCCGCACGGCGGCGGCCACUCGCCGCCCUGCCCACGGGAAGGGAAGAGGGUUCUAG